CACCCCGGUCAUAGGCAGCAGGAAACACCCGAUCCCGUCAGAUCUCGGAAGUUAAGCUGCUGCCGCCGUUGGGAGUACUGGGGUCUGCGGCCCCGGGAAACCGCGGUGCUGGGGUGC
Molecule: ribosomal RNA, 117 nt
Filed under: Thermofilum sp. ex4484_82
Lineage: Archaea; Thermoproteati; Thermoproteota; Thermoprotei; Thermofilales; Thermofilaceae
Also listed under: 2 other names
Source: RNAcentral